RNAcentral lists this ribosomal RNA (478 nucleotides) under uncultured bacterium. RNAcentral describes it as "partial 16S ribosomal RNA". It matches the Rfam family "Bacterial small subunit ribosomal RNA", at positions 28 to 507 of the family's 1533-position model. The record is from RNAcentral.
GACGAACGCUGGCGGCGUGCUUAACACAUGCAAGUCGAACGGGAUUUAGUAAACAGAAGCCUCGGUGGAAGAUUACUAAUGAGAGUGGCGAACGGGUGAGUAACGCGUGAGCAACCUGCCUAUGACAGUGGGAUAGCCUCGGGAAACCGGGAUUAAUACCGCAUAAAAUCGUAGAAACACAUGUUUUAACGGUCAAAGAUUUAUCGGUCAUAGAUGGGCUCGCGUCUGAUUAGCUAGUUGGUGAGAUAACAGCCCACCAAGGCGACGAUCAGUAGCCGGUCGGGGAGAGGGCCCGACCAGAUGGGAGCUGAGCCCCGGACAAAACUCCGAGGGGGGGGAGGGGGGGGAAAUAUAGCAGAAGGGGGAAACCCGUGAUGAAGCCACGCGGGGGAAACAAAAAGGGUGUUGGUAACGAAAUUUCGUCUCUGAUGAAAAGAUAGUGACGGUACCAGAGAAAAAAGCCCCGGCUAAAUACGUG